Molecule: non-coding RNA, 125 nt
Organism: Brassica napus (rape)
Lineage: Eukaryota; Viridiplantae; Streptophyta; Magnoliopsida; Brassicales; Brassicaceae
Source: Rfam
GGAAUAUAAGAACCGUUUCUUAACUUUUAACUAAAAAAACUAUGAACCGGCUCUUAAAUCUUUUAUUUAAGAGCCGGUUCUUAGCUUUUUUUAGUUAAAAAUUAAGAGACGGAUUCUUAUAUUCC